AAGGGCAAAGGGAAGAAGAAGGGAAACUUCAAGAAGAAUGGCAAACAAGUUGCUGCUCAAGAGAAGAAACCAAAGUCUGGACCUAAGCCUGAAACUGAGUGCUUCUACUGCAAGCAGACUGGUCACUGGAAGCGGAACUGCCCCAAGUAUUUGGCGGAUAAGAAGGAUGGCAAGGUGAACAAAGGUAUAUGUGAUAUACAUGGUAUUGAUGUGUACCUUACUAGAGCUCGCAGUAGCACCUGGGUAUUUGAUACUGGUUCUGUUGCUAAUAUUUGCAACUCAAAGCAGGGACUACGGAUUAAGUGA
Molecule: ribosomal RNA, 306 nt
Filed under: Triticum aestivum (bread wheat)
Lineage: Eukaryota; Viridiplantae; Streptophyta; Magnoliopsida; Poales; Poaceae
Description: partial small subunit ribosomal RNA
Source: RNAcentral